CUGAACAGAUGGGCGGGAGCUGGUGGGGGUGACCUCCAGUACCCACCACCAGGCCAGUGGAUCUCCCUGGGCCAGGGCUCGCCUUUGAAAGGAGGUUACAAUGAUUGAAGCUGAUACACUAAGCACCGUCUCGAGCAAGUAUUGGUGAUACACAAAGCUUAAAAGCAACUCCAGGACUUUUUU
Eptesicus fuscus (big brown bat) is the source of this 183-nucleotide long non-coding RNA. RefSeq lists it as uncharacterized. The record is from RefSeq and is a predicted model, not a curated record. NCBI's taxonomy places the organism in Eukaryota, Metazoa, Chordata, Mammalia, Chiroptera, Vespertilionidae. The transcript has 3 exons.